AAGAUUUGGUGAUUGGAGCGGCGGACGGGUGAGUAACGCGUGGGUAACCUGCCUCAUACAGGGGGAUAACAGUCAGAAAUGACUGCUAAUACCGCAUAAGCGCACAGUACCGCAUGGUACCGUGUGAAAAACUCCGGUGGUACAGGAUGGACCCGCGUCUGAUUAGCUGGUUGGUGGGGUAACGGCUCACCAAGGCGACGAUCAGUAGCCGGCUUGAGAGAGUGAACGGCCACAUUGGGACUGAGACACGGCCCAAACUCCUACGGGAGGCAGCAGUGGGGAAUAUUGCACAAUGGGGGAAACCCUGAUGCAGCGACGCCGCGUGAGUGAAGAAGUAUCUCGGUAUGUAAAGCUCUAUCAGCAGGGAAGAAAAUGACGGUACCUGACUAAGAAGCCCCGGCUAACUACGUGCCAGCAGCCGCGGUAAUACGUAGGGGGCAAGCGUUAUCCGGAAUUACUGGGUGUAAAGGGUGCGUAGGUGGUAUGGCAAGUCAGAAGUGAAAACCCAGGGCUUAACUCUGGGACUGCUUUUGAAACUGUCAGACUGGAGUGCAGGAGAGGUAAGCGGAAUUCCUAGUGUAGCGGUGAAAUGCGUAGAUAUUAGGAGGACAUCAGUGGCGAAGGCGGCUUACUGG
Molecule: ribosomal RNA, 635 nt
Filed under: uncultured Lachnospiraceae bacterium
Lineage: Bacteria; Bacillati; Bacillota; Clostridia; Lachnospirales; Lachnospiraceae
Description: bacterial SSU rRNA
Rfam family: Bacterial small subunit ribosomal RNA
Source: RNAcentral